UACAGAGGUCUCAAGCGUUGUUCGGAUUCAUUGGGCGUAAAGGGUGCGUAGGUGGCGCGGUAAGUCGGGUGUGAAAUCUCGGAGCUUAACUCCGAAAUUGCAUUCGAUACUGCCGUGCUUGAGGACUGGAGAGGAGACUGGAAUUCAUGGUGUAGCAGUGAAAUGCGUAGAUAUUGGGAGGAACACCGGUGGCGAAGGCGGCUCUCUGGACCGGUACUGACGCUGAGACGCGAAAGCUAGGGGAGCAAACGGG
This 253-nucleotide ribosomal RNA is filed under the name uncultured bacterium. RNAcentral's name for it is "partial 16S ribosomal RNA". It matches the Rfam family "Bacterial small subunit ribosomal RNA", at positions 524 to 776 of the family's 1533-position model. The record is from RNAcentral.